This 1176-nucleotide ribosomal RNA is filed under the name Polyschismium chailletii. RNAcentral describes it as "partial small subunit ribosomal RNA". The record is from RNAcentral. Lineage: Eukaryota; Evosea; Eumycetozoa; Physariida; Didymiaceae.
AAGGGCAUUCCCGUUGAUCAAGACGAAAGUUAAGGGUUCGAAAGCGAUCAGAUACCGUCGUAGUCUUAACUAUAAAUGAUACUGACCAGGGAUAGGAUACUGUCCAUCUCGACUCUUCCCGGACCUUAGAGAAAUCAGAGUCUUUGAGUUCUGGGGGGAGUAUGGUCGCAAGGCUGAAACUUAAAGGAAUUGACGGAAGGGCACACAAAGAGUGGAACCUGCGGCUUAACCUACACACUUAGGCCCAGAAAGCGGUUGGCUUGCGCGGAUCGGGGGGAAAGUAAGCCGGAACGCUGGGGGCACCCAGUGGACCAGCCGGAACCCUCCCAGGAUGUGCUGGUGCGCGGAUCAGGGGCAAAGUAAGCCGGAACGCUGGGGGCACCCAGUGGACCAGCCGAAACCCUCCCGGGCUGUGCUGGUGCGGGAUCAGGGGCAAAGUAAGGCGGAACGCUGGGGGCACCCGGCAGACCGAACGAAACCCUCUUGGUGACCGUGCUCGUUUGCUAGUGGGGAAAGGCGGGAGGGCGUCGGACGCUUCACCCUGCCGCCUAGUACCUGCAAUACUCGUAAAAAGCUGGGAGGGUCGCUAUACCCGGAGCCUACCAAGCCGGUCCCCGAAAGGGGGCUGGUGGCCUUGGCUAAUGACCAAGGGUACGGUAAUAAUGGCUUUGGGGAGACUUACCAGCAACCAAUCCCGAAUGUAAGCCUAGUAAGGUUGGGGGGGACCCCGCCAGAAGCGUUUUCAAGGGUGCAGUUCACAGGCUAAACAUGGGUGAGUGUGGGCGGRAGGRAGGGGGCUGGUCUACCGUUUCUCGGGCUAAUGCAGCCUGGGGGGCACCUGACUGGUUCCCGCCUUCCCAAAGGCGGGCGAAGGGCUGGCUGACCGUCCUCCGGGCUUAAGGGCCCCGUUGGAAUUGGAAGGCUGGUCAUACAAAGGGCUCGGGCUGGACCAUCACUGGGGUGCUGCGGCCCCGGGGGUGAGAGGCUUGGGUUCCCCAACCCUCCGAAAAAGGGCGGGAGAAGAGCUGGUCCACCGUCCCCCCCCUCAAGGGGGGGGGCACCGGACCGGCUCCCAACCCCCCGAAGGCAUGCUUAAGAUAUGGUCGGUUCCCGCCUUGGUAAAGCGGGAUCAAUGCGUAAUUUGACUCAACACGGGAAAACUCACCAGGUCCGGAU